GGGCCCGUAGUUCAGUGGUAGAACGCUGUCCUGAUAAGACAGAGGUCAAAGGUCCGAUUCCUUUCGGGCCCACCA
This 75-nucleotide transfer RNA is filed under the name Candidatus Staskawiczbacteria bacterium RIFCSPHIGHO2_01_FULL_39_25. RNAcentral's name for it is "tRNA-Ile". It matches the Rfam family "tRNA". From Rfam's summary of the family: Transfer RNA (tRNA) molecules are approximately 80 nucleotides in length. Their secondary structure includes four short double-helical elements and three loops (D, anti-codon, and T loops). Further hydrogen bonds mediate the characteristic L-shaped molecular structure. tRNAs have two regions of fundamental functional importance: the anti-codon, which is responsible for specific mRNA codon recognition, and the 3' end, to which the tRNAs corresponding amino acid is attached (by aminoacyl-tRNA synthetases). tRNAs cope with the degeneracy of the genetic code in two manners: having more than one tRNA (with a specific anti-codon) for a particular amino acid; and 'wobble' base-pairing, i.e. permitting non-standard base-pairing at the 3rd anti-codon position. The record is from RNAcentral. Lineage: Bacteria; Candidatus Staskawicziibacteriota. RNAcentral also lists the same sequence under 4 other names.